GGCGUAGGGGAAGGAAGGGUCUACCGUGCUAACGAUCUGUACUUCACGCUCGGGAGCAGAGGGCAGAAACAGAGGCAAGCAGAAUCCUGCAAUGGCUGCCAGUUUGCAAGGAGUGACCAGGAGUGGGAAGGCACGCACAGUCCCACCAGCUGACAAAGCAGAGAGGGGCAGUGCACAGGAAGAUCUGAAACAAGGUCAGUGCCCUUGGGCUCUUGGCUCUGACUGGCCCACCAAGCCCCUGCCUUCUGGUGUGACACAGCUUUCCAAGGUCACUUCUCCUUCUGCUUACCCUCCCCGUGUCCCUCACGCUGCAUCCUCUUGCAAGGGCAAAAAUUAAAUACAGAGAUCCAAGUUUCUCA
Molecule: long non-coding RNA, 359 nt
Filed under: Mus pahari (shrew mouse)
Lineage: Eukaryota; Metazoa; Chordata; Mammalia; Rodentia; Muridae
Description: lncRNA (MGP_PahariEiJ_G0003498.1)
Source: RNAcentral